RNAcentral lists this ribosomal RNA (433 nucleotides) under uncultured bacterium. RNAcentral describes it as "partial 16S ribosomal RNA". It matches the Rfam family "Bacterial small subunit ribosomal RNA", at positions 29 to 507 of the family's 1533-position model. The record is from RNAcentral.
AACGAACGCUGGCGGCAUGCCUAACACAUGCAAGUCGAACGAGACCUUCGGGUCGAGUGGCGCACGGGUGCGUAACGCGUGGGAACCUGCCCUUAGGUUCGGAAUAACUCCCCGAAAGGGGGGCAAAUACCGGAUAAUGUCUUCGGACCAAAGAUUUAUCGCCUUUGGAUGGGCCCGCGUUGGAUUAGCUAGUUGGUAGGGUAAAAGCCUACCAAGGGGACGAUCCAUAGCUGGUCUGAGAGGAUGAUCAGCCACACUGGGACUGAGACACGGCCCAGACUCCUCCGGGAGGCAGCAGUGGGUAAUAUUGGACAAUGGGCGAAAGCCUGAUCCAGCCAUGCCGCGUGAGUGAUGAAGGCCUUAGGGUUGUAAAGCUCUUUUAACCGGGAUGAUAAUGACAGUACCGGGAGAAUAAGCUCCGGCUAACUCCGUG